RNAcentral lists this ribosomal RNA (589 nucleotides) under uncultured bacterium. Its description in RNAcentral is "partial 16S ribosomal RNA". It matches the Rfam family "Bacterial small subunit ribosomal RNA", at positions 355 to 1375 of the family's 1533-position model. The record is from RNAcentral.
UGGGGAAUUUUGGACAAUGGGCGAAAGCCUGAUCCAGCAAUGCCGCGUGUGUGAAGAAGGCCUUCGGGUUGUAAAGCACUUUUGUCCGGAAAGAAAUCCUUGGCUCUAAUACAGUCGGGGGAUGACGGUACCGGAAGAAUAAGCACCGGCUAACUACGUGCCAGCAGCCGCGGUAAUACGUAGGGUGCAAGCGUUAAUCGGAAUUACUGGGCGUAAAGCGUGCGCAGGCGGUUUGCUAAGACCGAUGUGAAAUCCCCGGGCUCAACCUGGGAACUGCAUUGGUGACUGGCAGGCUAGAGUAUGGCAGAGGGGGGUAGAAUUCCACGUGUAGCAGUGAAAUGCGUAGAGAUGUGGAGGAAUACCGAUGGCGAAGGCAGCCCCCUGGGGCCAAUACUGACGCUCAUGCACGAAAGCGUGGGGGAGCAAAACAGGAUUAGAUACCCUGGUAGUCCACGCCCUAAACGAUGUCAACUAGUUGUCGGGGAUUCAUUUCCUUAGUAACGUAGCUAACGCGUGAAGGUUGACCGCCUGGGGAGUACGGUCGCAAGAUUAAAACUCAAAUGAAUUGACGGGGUCAUAGCUGUUUCCU